GCCGCUUUACAAGCACGGGGUGGCGGCAUCUCCGGCAUCUCCGCUCGGCCGCUCGGGUUCCCGAAUCUCGUCCGUCACGCCACCUAACCUAAAAGCACGGGGGGCGGCCGGCCCCGAGUGAUCACUAGGCGUCGCUGACCCACAGUCACGGACGCAGGAGAUACGUCCACCGGCGACACGAAUAAGCCUCGCAGAACAAUACAGGAUCAGCUCGACCAAUGGAGGCCGUCCUGCGGUGCAAGAUCUGCGUGAGGCAGUACGACUACGGCCAACACGCGCCGCACGUGAUGCCGUGCGGGCACACGGCGUGCCUGCAGUGCCUCAAACAGCUCGCCGACGGUCGGUGCGCGGAGUGCCGCCAGGCAUUCAAUUUCCCCCUCGGAAAGAAUUUCAAUGUGCUGGACAUCAUGGAGGU
Molecule: long non-coding RNA, 415 nt
Organism: Frankliniella occidentalis (western flower thrips)
Lineage: Eukaryota; Metazoa; Arthropoda; Insecta; Thysanoptera; Thripidae
Exons: 3
Source: RefSeq, a predicted model, not a curated record